AACGUAGGAGACAAACGUUAUCCGGAGUUACUGGGCGUAAAGGGCGUGUAGGUGGUUUCGUAAGUCUGGCGUGAAAUUUUUCGGCUUAACCGGGAAAGGUCGUCGGAUACUGCGGAACUAGAGGACGGUAGAGGCGUGUGGAAUUCCGGGUGUAGUGGUGAAAUGCGUAGAGAUCCGGAGGAACACCAGUGGCGAAGGCGACACGCUGGGCCGUACCUGACACUGAUGCGCGACAGCAUGGGGAGCAAACAGA
Molecule: ribosomal RNA, 253 nt
Filed under: uncultured bacterium
Lineage: Bacteria
Description: partial 16S ribosomal RNA
Rfam family: Bacterial small subunit ribosomal RNA
Source: RNAcentral